RNAcentral lists this ribosomal RNA (443 nucleotides) under uncultured bacterium. RNAcentral describes it as "partial 16S ribosomal RNA". It matches the Rfam family "Bacterial small subunit ribosomal RNA", at positions 338 to 795 of the family's 1533-position model. The record is from RNAcentral.
CCUACGGGUGGCAGCAGUGGGGAAUAUUGGGCAAUGGGCGCAAGCCUGACCCAGCAACGCCGCGUGAAGGAAGAAGGCUUUCGGGUUGUAAACUUCUUUUCUCAGGGACGAAGAAAGUGACGGUACCUGAGGAAUAAGCCACGGCUAACUACGUGCCAACAGCCGCGUUAAUACGUAGGUGGCAAGCUUUAUCCGGAUUUAUUGGGUGUAAAGAGCGUGAAGGCGGGAGUGCAAGUCAGAUGGGAAAACUCCGGGCUCAACCCUGGGACUGCAUUUGAAACUGGGUGUCUUGAGUGCUGGAGAGGCGAUCGGAAUUCCGGGUGUAGCGGUGAAAUGCGUAGAUAUCCGGAGGAACACCAGUGGCGAAGGCGGAUUGCUGGACAGUAACUGACGCUGAGGUGCGAAAGCGUGGGGAGCAAACAGGAUUAGAUACCCGAGUAGUC